Molecule: ribosomal RNA, 328 nt
Filed under: uncultured eukaryote
Lineage: Eukaryota
Description: partial 18S ribosomal RNA
Rfam family: Eukaryotic small subunit ribosomal RNA
Source: RNAcentral
CCCUUAGAUGUCCUGGGCCGCACGCGCGUUACACUGAUGCAUUCAACGAGCUUAUAACCUUGGCCGAGAGGCCUGGGCAAUCUUGUUAACGUGCAUCGUGAUAGGGAUAGAUUAUUGAAAUUAUUAAUCUUGAACGAGGAAUUCCUAGUAAACGCAGAUCAUCAAUCUGCGUCGAUUACGUCCCUGCCCUUUGUACACACCGCCCGUCGCUCCUACCGAUUGGGUGUGCUGGUGAAAUGUUCGGAUCGGCCGUUUGUCGCGGUUUCCGCGUCAUGUGGCUGAGAAGUUCAUUAAACCCUCCCACCUAGAGGAAGGAGAAGUCGUAACA